CAGUCGCCGCGGUAAUACGAAGGGUGCAAGCGUUACUCGGAAUUACUGGGCGUAAAGCGUGCGUAGGUGGUUGUUUAAGUCCGUUGUGAAAGCCCUGGGCUCAACCUGGGAAUUGCAGUGGAUACUGGGUCACUAGAGUGUGGUAGAGGAUAGUGGAAUUUCCGGUGUAGCAGUGAAAUGCGUAGAGAUCGGAAGGAACAUCUGUGGCGAAGGCGACUAUCUGGGCCAACACUGACACUGAGGCACGAAAGCGUGGGGAGCAAACAGGAUUAGAUACCCCAGUAGUCCCUGUCUCUUAUAC
This 301-nucleotide ribosomal RNA is filed under the name uncultured bacterium. Its description in RNAcentral is "partial 16S ribosomal RNA". It matches the Rfam family "Bacterial small subunit ribosomal RNA", at positions 509 to 807 of the family's 1533-position model. The record is from RNAcentral.